GGGGAGUGACGUCAAAUCAUCAUGCCCUUUAUGUCCUGGGCUACACACGUGCUACAAUGGUCGGUACAACGAGAAGCAAGCCAGCGAUGGCAAGCAAAUCUCUAAAAGCCGAUCCCAGUUCGGAUUGCAGGCUGCAACUCGCCUGCAUGAAGUCGGAGUUGCUAGUAAUCGCGGAUCAGAAUGCCGCGGUGAAUGCGUUCCCGGGUCUU
RNAcentral lists this ribosomal RNA (209 nucleotides) under uncultured Eubacteriales bacterium. RNAcentral describes it as "uncultured Clostridiales bacterium partial 16S ribosomal RNA". It matches the Rfam family "Bacterial small subunit ribosomal RNA", at positions 1174 to 1382 of the family's 1533-position model. The record is from RNAcentral. Lineage: Bacteria; Bacillati; Bacillota; Clostridia; Eubacteriales.